UAUACAAAAAAUACCUAAAAAUGUUGGGAGAAUACCAAAUAUUGGAUGAAUAAAAUAAAAAGGUGAAAGUCAUCGAUGAUAAAUUCAGAGGUGGUUGUUCACUCUCUACUUUGAUAGAGAGAGAAAAAUCUCUCAACCUCUCCCCUCUCCCUUUUCUCCUUAAGAUUUCAGAUCCUUUUUCUUGCCGUUAAUUGGCCUCCCCUGCCCCUCUGAGUAGAGCAAGUCUUCUCCUAGUCCAAUUCUAUGAGGUUGCUUAGUGUGCUAGUACCGACUUUGGCAUCAUCUCUUCUAGGAGGUUCAAGGGGAGCUAAGGAUGGUAUCUUGGGGGUAUCUCCGCUGUCCAAGUGAAGGCAUUGGUCCCUUAAAAGUCUAUAUGAGAGUAAGAAGUCAAGAACUGUAUGCUUGCCUCUUUGGAUUUUGACUCCAUAUUUUACGAGCUUUCUUGAAUGCUUGUGAUGAGUUUAUAGAUGCUGGUUUUCUACUAAAUGUUGGUGUUUUGUCUAGAUAAGUUUGUACUUUUUUUAUUAUUUUUGGCUUUGCAUGUCUCUCUUUUCUCCAUAUAUGCUCUAUAGUGGUCCUCCAGACAAGUAAUACUUGGUUCUCUAGUUUUUAUAGAUCAUUGUGUGGGGCAAUACUAUGCUUGCUUGAAUUGGAUCUCAA
Long non-coding RNA from Manihot esculenta (cassava), 660 nucleotides. RefSeq lists it as uncharacterized. Lineage: Eukaryota; Viridiplantae; Streptophyta; Magnoliopsida; Malpighiales; Euphorbiaceae. The record is from RefSeq and is a predicted model, not a curated record. The transcript is spliced from 2 exons.